UCUUCCACCUACCACAACUCUUCGUUUUCGUCUUAUUUUUUUGCUGCAUCGGUUCUGUUUGUUUCUUGCUUUUUCCACGGUCGAUCUUCUCAGCGAUUACUUCGUUCGGAGUGAGGGAGGUUUCGAAUCAUGGCUUUUCAGAAGAUCAAGGUCGCCAACCCCAUCGUUGAGAUGGACGGAGAUGAAAUGACUCGAGUUAUCUGGGAAUCAAUUAAGAAUAAGCUUAUUUUCCCCUUUUUGGAAUUGGACAUCAAGUAUUUUGACCUUGGCCUUCCACACCGUGAUGCCACAGAUGAUAAAGUUACAAUUGAAAGUGCAGAAGCUACUUUAAAGUACAAUGUGGCGAUCAAAUGUGCAACAAUUACUCCAGAUGAAGCACGUGUUAAGGAAUUUGGCUUGAAGCAGAUGUGGAGAAGUCCAAAUGGGACAAUCAGGAAUAUUCUGAAUGGUACUGUCUUCAGAGAACCAAUUCUUUGCAAAAAUGUUCCUCGCCUUGUACCAGGUUGGACGAAGCCUAUCUGUAUUGGACGACAUGCUUUUGGUGAUCAAUACAGAGCUACCGAUACAGUUAUCAAAGGACCUGGAAAACUGAAAUUGGUUUUUGAGGGGCAAGAGACGCAGGAGAUAGAGGUUUUCAAUUUUACUGGUGCUGGAGGAGUAGCGUUAUCCAUGUAUAACACUGACGAGUCCAUCCGCUCCUUUGCUGAUGCUUCAAUGAACACUGCUUAUGAGAAGAAAUGGCCUCUUUACCUUAGCACCAAAAACACUAUUCUAAAGAAAUAUGAUGGAAGAUUCAAGGAUAUAUUCCAAGAAGUCUAUGAAUCCCAAUGGAAAUCAAAGUUUGAGGCUGCUGGCAUAUGGUAUGAACACCGUCUCAUCGAUGAUAUGGUGGCUUAUGCACUUAAGAGUGAAGGAGGUUAUGUCUGGGCAUGCAAGAACUAUGAUGGAGAUGUUCAGAGUGAUUUCUUAGCACAAGGAUUUGGAUCUCUUGGGUUGAUGACUUCUGUAUUGGUUUGCCCUGAUGGAAAGACAAUUGAAGCAGAAGCAGCUCAUGGUACUGUUACACGACAUUUUAGGGUUCAUCAAAAAGGAGGUGAAACCAGCACAAACAGUAUAGCGUCCAUCUUUGCUUGGUCUCGUGGCCUUGCUCACAGGGCAAAACUAGACGACAAUGCUAGUCUCUUAGAUUUCACUGAGAAACUAGAAUCGGCUUGUAUUAGUACCGUGGAAUCUGGGAAGAUGACCAAGGAUCUUGCUCUUAUCAUUCAUGGAUCCAAGCUUUCUCGAAACCAUUAUCUGAAUACUGAAGAGUUCGUUGAUGCUGUCGCUGAGGAACUAAAAUCCAGACUACUUAAGGCAUAGUGGUAUUUUAAAUGUUCAAUGGUGAAUGAUUGUUAAAUGUUCAAGAACAUCUUUCUCAUUUUCUCUUCUUUCCUGGAUAAUUAGUCUAGUGGGAGGAAUGCUAUUAAUGCGUUCGGCAGUUUACUAUCAAACUUUUUAAAGUUAAACAACAUUAAGAAGUGGAAAAAGUGCAUUGAAUUUAGGAUAGUCAACUUGAGGUUGUUAAAUAAUUCCUUCUUUUACAAUCCUUUUUCCCAUGGCACCUGCACGUCCUUUAAGUGUGUAAAGACAGUGUAUCUUAGAAAUUUUAUCCUGCUCGUGGAAAAUGCUAAUUCCAUUCUUGGUUCAUUU
Cucurbita moschata (crookneck pumpkin) is the source of this 1692-nucleotide RNA transcript. It is a transcript of the gene named cytosolic isocitrate dehydrogenase [NADP], with no coding region annotated. Lineage: Eukaryota; Viridiplantae; Streptophyta; Magnoliopsida; Cucurbitales; Cucurbitaceae. The record is from RefSeq and is a predicted model, not a curated record. The transcript is spliced from 16 exons.